GACGAACGCUGGCGGCGUGCCUAAUACAUGCAAGUAGAACGCUGAAGGAGGAGCUUGCUUCUCUGGAUGAGUUGCGAACGGGUGAGUAACGCGUAGGUAACCUGCCUGGUAGCGGGGGAUAACUAUUGGAAACGAUAGCUAAUACCGCAUAAGAGUAGAUGUUGCAUGACAUUUGCUUAAAAGGUGCAAUUGCAUCACUACCAGAUGGACCUGCGUUGUAUUAGCUAGUUGGUGGGGUAACGGCUCACCAAGGCGACGAUACAUAGCCGACCUGAGAGGGUGAUCGGCCACACUGGGACUGAGACACGGCCCAGACUCCUACGGGAGGCAGCAGUAGGGAAUCUUCGGCAAUGGACGGAAGUCUGACCGAGCAACGCCGCGUGAGUGAAGAAGGUUUUCGGAUCGUAAAGCUCUGUUGUAAGAGAAGGACGAGUGUGAGAGUGGAAAGUUCACACUGUGACGGUAUCUUACCAGAAAAGGACGGCUAACUACGU
RNAcentral lists this ribosomal RNA (494 nucleotides) under uncultured bacterium. RNAcentral describes it as "partial 16S ribosomal RNA". It matches the Rfam family "Bacterial small subunit ribosomal RNA", at positions 28 to 506 of the family's 1533-position model. The record is from RNAcentral.